CGAAAGCCUGACGGAGCAAGACCGCGUGGGGGAGGAAGGCUCUAGGGUUGUAAACCCCUUUUCUCAGGGAAGAAGAAAGUGACGGUACCUGAGGAAUCAGCCUCGGCUAACUCCGUGCCAGCAGCCGCGGUAAUACGGAGGAGGCAAGCGUUAUCCGGAAUGAUUGGGCGUAAAGCGUUCGUAGGUGGCAAUUCAAGUCUGCUGUCAAAGACUGGGGCUUAACUCCGGGCAGGCAGUGGAAACUGACAGGCUAGAGUGCAGGAGGGGUAGAGGGAAUUCCCGGUGUAGCGGUGAAAUGCGUAGAUAUCGGGAAGAACAUCGGUGGCGAAGGCGCUCUACUGGACUGCAACUGACACUCAGGGACGAAAGCUAGGGGAGCG
RNAcentral lists this ribosomal RNA (380 nucleotides) under uncultured cyanobacterium. Its description in RNAcentral is "bacterial SSU rRNA". It matches the Rfam family "Bacterial small subunit ribosomal RNA", at positions 376 to 770 of the family's 1533-position model. The record is from RNAcentral. Lineage: Bacteria; Bacillati; Cyanobacteriota.